Molecule: ribosomal RNA, 257 nt
Filed under: uncultured bacterium
Lineage: Bacteria
Description: partial 16S ribosomal RNA
Rfam family: Bacterial small subunit ribosomal RNA
Source: RNAcentral
GUCUGCCUACGGGACGCAGCAGUAGGGAAUCUUCGGCAAUGGGGGCAACCCUGACCGAGCAACGCCGCGUGAGUGAAGAAGGUUUUCGGAUCGUAAAGCUCUGUUGUAAGUCAAGAACGGGUGUGAGAGUGGAAAGUUCACACUGUGACGGUAGCUUACCAGAAAGGGACGGCUAACUACGUGCCAGCAGCCGCGGUAAUACGUAGGUCCCGAGCGUUGUCUGGAUUUAUUGGGCGUAAAGCGAGCGCAGGCGGUUU